GGGGCUUUCCGUUUUUGAAUUUUCCUCGGAGUUCAGUAUUUUUGUGAUAUUUUUUUUUCUAAUAGUGUAUAAUACGUCUACUAGUAUUUGAUUAUCUACAUUCCCUGGUCUGCAUAUUUCUGUGGUUUGUCUCAUGUAAGGUCUCAGUACUGGAUUUUUGUUCAGAUAUCUUUUGUUGCCAAGAAUUUAAGCUGAUGCAGGAAAGGAAAUUGUUGUCAUGCUUCUGAUCAACACAUAUUGCUGUCUGUAUGCAAAGAAAUCCGUACUUAACAUAAUAUUUGCUGUCUUCGAUUAAUUUAACA
This 302-nucleotide long non-coding RNA is filed under the name Mytilus galloprovincialis (Mediterranean mussel). Lineage: Eukaryota; Metazoa; Mollusca; Bivalvia; Mytilida; Mytilidae. The record is from RNAcentral.